UACGGGGGGGGUAAGCGUUGUUCGGAAUUACUGGGCGUAAAGGGCUCAUAGGCGGCCAACUAAGUCAGACGUGAAAUCCCUCAGCUUAACUGGGGAACUGCGUCUGAUACUGGAUGGCUUGGAUUCGGGAGAGGAAUGCGGAAUUCCAGGUGUAGCGGUGAAAUGCGUAGAUAUCUGGAGGAACACCGGUGGCGAAGGCGGCAUUCUGGACCGACAUUGACGCUGAGGAGCGAAAGCCAGGGGAGCAAACGGG
This 253-nucleotide ribosomal RNA is filed under the name uncultured bacterium. RNAcentral describes it as "partial 16S ribosomal RNA". It matches the Rfam family "Bacterial small subunit ribosomal RNA", at positions 524 to 776 of the family's 1533-position model. The record is from RNAcentral.